RNAcentral lists this long non-coding RNA (2462 nucleotides) under Anas platyrhynchos platyrhynchos (common mallard). Its description in RNAcentral is "lncRNA (ENSAPLG00000026210.1)". The record is from RNAcentral. Lineage: Eukaryota; Metazoa; Chordata; Aves; Anseriformes; Anatidae.
AUCUUUUGCCCUACUUUACAGCUGGCACCCCUGAGCAGCUCUGCUGCUGCUGGUGGUCGUUGGGUCUGGCCACAGCAGGCUCAGAAGCAGCGUGAGGGGACAGGCGGGGACCUUCCUGAGCAUCCAAAAAACUGCCCAGGCUCCUUUCUUUGGGGCUUUGAAGAAACACGGACACCUGUCAGAGGGUGUCACCUCUGCGUUUCACCCAACGAGAUGUCAUUUGGAGCUGCCAAGCUCGUGCCAGGGACCUCUCUCUCCUCCUCCACCACCUGGUAGCUGUGCCCCUGCCCCUCCCUGCUCCCCUGCACCGAGGAGUGGCAGGCGGCUUCCCCACUGCUCUCUGAAGAAUAAGGUCACCAGAUAAGUUCAACAGCUUGUGCCUCUUUUAAUGGAAACACCAUGUAUUUAUACACAUUUACACAGUGAAGUACAAAGGGUUAGAAAACAGGCUUCAUUUUCAGCCCCUGUAUCUAACACACCGUAUGGUAAUCCCUGAGAGCACCUGGCAAGUGCGUGUCCCCUGCAAGUGGUCCUGAGAGUGCAAAUUCCCCUGCAGCACAGGUUGCUUUCUGACACUGAAUCCGAAUGCUAACUCUUAAGUACACUGGGCUGGCAGUAAGCAGAAAUUAGUAGUUAAACCACUCAACACGGUGUACCACAUCAAAAUCCAUCCUGACAUCUCUGCCACCGAUGGCUAAAAGGGCAUCUUCUUACCCUCCAGAGAAAUGACUUCAGCUUCUACCUUAUAUUCCAGUCACAGAAAACCCAUUACAACAUUAGUGCCUGUGAAUUGCACAGACCUGAUGCAGUUGCAGACCAAAAUCCUCUUUAUAUUCAUAGUGCUGGAGAGGUUGAUUAGCAGGAUGCUUAUUCCAUCAGCCCUGGGCUGGAGGGCUAUCUGGUAAAGCAGACUAGCCUGCACAGCUAUUCCAGCAAGAUGUACAAAGAACAGGGUCUGUGGAAAAUCCUUGUUUCACGAGUCUGCUGUAACCUCUGUGGAGACCUGACCCCAGCCCUGCUAGCUGGCAACACCUGCCUGGGCACCAGUUUGAGCAACCCCAUGAGAAGAGCACACCACGGCCCAUUUCUUAUCAAACAGGAGCAAAGCCCGAGCAAAAAUAUGGCCAUUUACUGUAGCAUCUGCUUUUUGCUUUUGAACUCCACCGUUAUGAAUGUGCUUUAUUUAUUUAUUUAUUUUAAACUAAGCAGCAAGUUUAGACGAUGUGUUUCCAUAAGCACAGUGUGCUGUUCUGGCCAACCCAACAAUUUAGAUCACAUCUGGGUAUGGGGGAAUGGCUUUCACAGUCUUGAGGACAGUGUGUCCCCACAUAUCCAGUGGGCUUCAGGGUCUGGGACAGGAUGUCUGAUGUGGCAGUCUUUUACUGUGGACCAUCAUGGUCCAUUCCUGCUUUACCUUCAGUGCCAAGAAGUGUUUUCUUCCAGUGUUGAGAAAGGGGAGUAGUGUCCUGCCCUCUGUGGGCACCCAGGUGCAUAAUAUCAAAGCUCACAAUGAAUCCGGCCAUGGUUUCCAAACAUCAGUGGCUGAGCUGCCUGAUACUGACUGGAUUUUCAUAGCAUAUGGCUAGACUUGAUAGCUCGGAAAAUUGCUUGAAUUUCCAGAAGUUGCAUCAUUAUUCUGUCCUGGCUAUAAUGCAAAAAGGUCCUAAAGUAGACACUCACAAUAAGCCUAGUGGUUUUGUUUUAUUUUUUAAAUAGGAAUUUAAAUAUAAAGAAAAAAAAAGCCCACCUGUGGUUCACCAUCUCCCUCAUUUCACAGUUAAAUGCAAAGACAAAGAAAUCCCUGAGACUGAAGAGGAGACAACAGAUGGUGGAUUCAGGGAAACUUAAUGGGGGAGGCAAAUGUUAGGUGACUGUGGCAUACAAAAAUUAGUUCAGCUUCUCUGUUGCUCCGAAGAAAUCAGUCCUUGCCCCUGAUUUAUAUCUGCAGAGGAUGCAAAUACCUCAACUAUAGAAAUAUUUCACAUACAGCCCUUUUUUAUACUCAACAAAACAAUAUCAUUAAGAAUUGUAUCCAUACAGACCACAUAGGGCUGUACAGUUUAAUACCUAGACUGUCUUAAACUUUGAUUACUGUAUUAAUAUAAUAUAAAGUGCUUGGUAUAUUCAAAACAAUUAUAGGAUUGGAUUUUCACUGCCCACUGAGACUCUGUGGUGUAUUUUAAACUCUUCCUUAUUACUAUAAAACUUUAAAAUAUGUCUACCUAUAUAAGGAGAGGAAAAACAUCUAAUGUCAAAAGCACAACUCCUUAAUUUUGACCAUUGCAAAACGAACAAAUGCAAAAUAUGAUCCUUUCACACAUGUUGUUUUUCAAGCUGCUCCUCUGUCAUUCACCUGGAACUGGAAAAAAGGAAACCAUAAAAGGACGGCACCUCUUAAGCUUCCUAUCAGGAGCAGACAGGUAAACUUUUCUGUCUCCCACCCCAAAGUACCUUCACGUCCA